RNAcentral lists this long non-coding RNA (8225 nucleotides) under Capsicum annuum. Its description in RNAcentral is "long non-coding RNA (CANN_LNC009833)". Lineage: Eukaryota; Viridiplantae; Streptophyta; Magnoliopsida; Solanales; Solanaceae. The record is from RNAcentral.
CAUCUUAAAAUUCUGUGCCAGGGCAGAUAUGUAAUGUUAUAUUCAAAGAACAAAUACUACCUAGUAUCAUCAGUAAACUUACAGAAUUUACUUGGUAUGUUUAUUUGUAACACCCUGAAAAUGGGUACGGAGACAUCACAUGGUUCUUAGGGUAACAAGUGACCCCAAGCUAACCCUUCUACUGGCAUACUUAUAAGCAACUAAAUUAAAUAGAUAAAUCUUAACAAAAUCAGCGAAAACAAUAAAUCUUCUCUGAACUUGAUCAAUUAAAAAUCUAAGUUUACAAGAUUACAACUCUGCUUAUAUGAACAAAACUGAAAUAGAAUACAACGACACUACUAACUAUCUAUGAAGCCUCUACAAAUACUGACUAUAGAUAGCCGGGUCAUGACUCCCAACUACCCUAACUCAAUAUGAUUGAAUAAAGAAAAUACAAUUCUCUCAAACUGUAUAACUGGCUCGAUCCCUUGAAACAAAAGAAAUCAUCACCUGCUGACUGGAAGCUGCAUACUUGACUGAAUAGAGUGUAUGCGCUACCACUUGUACCUAUAUUAUGAGACAAUGUAGCACACAGACAUACAUGUGGAUCUUUACUUUGAGGAUGUACUGGGUAUAUGGGGGUGCAAUGCAUAAAUAAAAUAUUAUCUUAUUAUUAUAACUUAUAAAACAAUACAUGCUAAAUAUAAAUGACUCACAUAAAGCUGGAAUGUCUAAAAUACUGAAAUCUGAAAUCAUGCAUAGCAAGUCAAACUUUAUAAUCUAGUGAGUCAUAAUAUUUAGUACUGAAAGCUAAACUUGUAUUCUCUCUUUAAAUCUUGUUAUCUAAGUGUAAGAAGAACUCACUCUUAAAUCUGAAAUCUGAAAUCUAAUGUCUUUCUGUAAAGUAUAAUAUGAUUAAAACUUGUGAGCCUUCACUCUUAGUUUUUAAAGAGCUUUUCUAUCAUUCUUUUUCUUUUGGAACUUAAGAGCUUAGAACCUGCAGAGACUUUUGAAACUUGUGACUUAGGGACUUUGAUACUUAGAACUUUAGGAGUCUUAAAACCAAAACUCUCGAAACAUAUACUUUUAUCUCAAGGGGAAUAGGAAACUUCUUUAAAAUUUUAGGGACUCAAGGACUUAGAAUCAUGGAACUUUGGGAAACUUUGACACUUAGAGACUUUGGAUUACUAUGGGAAACUUGGGAAUCUUAAAACUAUGAUUUUCAAAACAUAAGAUUUUUGUGUUAAGACUUUGGGUCAAUAAACUGCUUCUUUUUCUUAAAGGACAUCUUUUGGGAGCUUCUUCUAACCGAUAUAAAACAUUUGAGAUGACAUGGAGUCGAACGCCUUGCCCACAUUGGGGAGAGUUGUUCUACCCUUUCCAUCGGAAUAGAACCUUAACUUUGAUCACUCUCUCAGCCUCGAACCCAUAAAUCUGAAUCCUACAUUGACACAUAGUUCUGAGGCAUGAUACAUUAGAUUUAUACCCAAAUCCGUGCUAAAUACUACUCUCAUACUUAGGCUUAGAACUUUUAGGAAAUUCACCUUAAAAUAACUCAAGAAUGUAUAAUGAAAGGCAAUGUAUGCCUCUCUUUACUUUAAAACAUAAAUAGUGUGGAUUCCUAUCUUAGCUUAAUAUCAAAACAUCAAUCUUGUUUCAAAUAUUGGUAAGCAAUUUGUUAGAGGAAAGCUUAAGAUCAUAAUAUUCUUAAAAUUCAAACUCAUUCUUUAUAUGGAUAUAAUAAUUCAAAACUUUCAAGAAUAUGGUAUUAAAAUCUUAAUACGCUACUUGAAAAUACUUCAACACCAUCAAAAUAAUAAGAUCAAGAAUCUCAAUAUCAUACUUAAACUCACUUUCAAAAAUCUGAAAAAUUGCGUUACGCGCAUAAAUAAAUGAAAAUAGUGAUGCAAUUCAAUAUUCAAUCACUUGUAAACUCACAAUCUUCAAACAAUAUAAAUUAAGUAUAAACCCUGACUUCAAUUUUAUGGAAAAUCACAUAAAAUGCAGUAAUUUAUAAGUUAAAAUAAGUUUUGAGCAUAAGGAAGAAAGGAUUGUCCUUGUUGAAACCCCACAUACCUUAAUUAAUUAUCUUAUAUGAGAAAGCUUGAAUCUUCAAUUCCUACGAUGAAUUGAAUAUUAAAGUUUGAACUCUGAACCGUUUGGAGAUGAUCUUGAAAACAUUCUUGAAGUUCUUGGAUUAAGAACCUUAAAUUCUUGAUCUUUUUGUUGAAAAGAAGAUGAUGGAAUUGAUGAUACUUGAUAGAAUUGAUUAGGGUUGUUCUUGAGGGAAAAAUUAGAGGAUGGGGGCAAUUAAUGGCCCAAUUGAAGCCUUAGAUCGUGUUAUUAUGACCUGAGUUGAGGUGGGAAAAGACCCCAUUGUCCCUCCUUAAUUUAAAACAAAAAUCUGGAACCCAUAUUGCCAUUUGAAGGGCUACUGCGACGCGGUGCAAUCACAGUGAGUUACUGCCUCAUACGAAAAAUGUCAUAACUUUUAACUCGGGUAACGGAUUCUGGAAAAUUUUUUAUCGUUGGAAAUCUAACUCAAUUAUCUAUGAUUUGGUAGGUCUUGAGCUGAAAAAAUCUAUAUAUAUAAAGAAUUAUACACUUUCAAAGUUGACCCUUGUAGAAUCGAUUAUCAAACAUUGGACCAAUUAAGGGAUCUUAGCUAAACUUGGCUAGAAGUGAUUUCUAGGAACAUUUUUCACCCAAGAAGAAUUUCAUACACUAGGAUAAAGUUACUGAAACAUGCUCUUCAAUUUAUAGAUCAAGGACAUGGCAAAUAUGCCUUCACGCAAUGCGGUGAUCCCGCCAUCGCUAUACUCCGCGAUGUGGUGAUUGGUUGAAUGGCACACUGUCAACACUAAUAGGCCAUAACUUCUCAAUCGUGUAUCGAAUUUGGGCGAAUUUGGUAUUGAUGGAAAUCUUAUUCAAUUUUUCAUAAAAUGGAAGGUCUAAAUCUUGAAAAUUCCAUAUGAAAUAAAUGUUAUUCAUUCUUGAAGAUAAUAUUUGGCAUUCUACGGAUGAAAUUAAGCUAGAAAAUAUGUGGGGUAUUACAUUAUUAUAAUAAAAUUAUUAUUUUAGUAGUUUCUACAACAUUGUAGGUAUAAAUUCCUAGACUUGAUUUAUGUGUUUAUGAUGAAUAAAGACCCCUUACAAGCAAUCCUUAAAUCAAUAUACUUACUUCACACAAUCUCUCUAUAAGGAUACAGAUGCAAAGAAAUAAGAUAAAGGUCCCUCAAAUUAUUAAACUUAUUUGAGACUGUCCGUCGGUGAGGAGAAAGACUGAAGCAAUUAAGAUAAAGAUAUAAAUCUAAGAAAUAUAACAAUAAUAACAACAACAUACCCAGUAUAUUUUAUGAAUUUAUUAAGGUAUAUUUAGUUUUUCCUCCUUGUAGAAAGUACAACUUAAUGUAACUACAACUAUAAUUAAAAUAUAUCAAGUAACACUAAUUUCUAGUAAAAAUAUUUCAACACAAAAUAUUUAGGCUUUUAAUAAAAUCAAGUCAAGAAAAAACUAAAAUAUGGUUGAUAUUAAAAUAUUAUAUCAUGUUUCUUCAUAGAUCCCAACCCAAAGAGAUCAUUCCAAUAUAUAGUUAGAAAAGUAUAAAUUUGACAAACUAGAUAUAUUGAAAAGAUUUGAAGAAAUAUUAAUAUUACAAGAGACCAACACUUUUUUUUAUAAUUGUUGGAUGAUUAAAAAUCAAAUAAAUGCCUCUAUUUAUAGAAAAUUAUAGUGUUACCCCAACAAAUGCAUCCUUUGAAGUGGUGGUUAUAAGUGUCAGCUUGUAACUUUGGCUCAACUCUUCCGCUUAACAGAUGUGAGUAUGAAGUGAUUAUUCACACCCAUGAGAUUUUCAACUUCUUCCAAAAAUUUCCAUGGUAGUGUCAAUGAAAUUGUGAUUAUACCCAUGGAAUUUCUCUUAUCUCUUUAAUAAUUUGUUUCUUCUUUAGUCUUCCUUUGUAUUCUUCUUCCCGUAGAAUUUUUUAGAAAAUAUGCAAAAAUAAGAUAUAAUUAUUCAUGUUUUUUUAAAAUAUACAAUUCCUUAUAUAUUAAAUUAUAUAAAUAAUUUAUAUCCAUCAGUUAUUUUUGCACUUAAGAUAUGUAGACUUUACUUGUAUGGAUUGCAUUGCAAGAUAUUUACUCACCAUCAUAGCCUACAAUACAUUCUUGACUAGAAGGAUCUUAAUCUAAAGCAGUGUAGAUGGCUGGAGUUACUAACAAAAUACAACAUCUUUAAUUUGUACCAUUUAUGAUAGGAAAAUAUGGUAGCAUAUGCUUGAUCCAAAUAUACCCAUAGUCUCUUUAUUACAUUUAUUCCAUAAUUUUAUUUAUUUCUCUUGAUAGUCUUUCUACUAUCCAUUUUGAACUACAAGUAGGCUUACAUAUUGGUGGGUUAUAAUAGGUGUCAUAAUGUCUUGAGAAAUUGGGUUGUGACAAAAAAAACUUAUUCGUAAGUAGAUGUAUCUCAAUCCCCGACAACGGUGUCAUAAAUUUGGCUAGUCCAAUGUGUGUAAGAUUUUAUUGCUCAUACUCUAUAAGAUAUCGUCCCCAGAGAUUGAAAUACCUAUGUUACAAACUUAUAAUAUUUUGACUACUAUUUAAGAAACAAAUUGAUGAAAGGAGAGUAACUAAAUUUGUAAAAUAAAUAUGUAAAGAAAUAGCAUUCAUGAGAUUACCUUGAAGAAGGAAUUGGGGGUUGUUGAAUUUACUUGUUAUGUAUAUUGUAAUAAAAUCAUUAUUUUAGUGAUUUCUACAAAACUAUAGGUAUAACUUCCUAGACUUUAUUUGUGUGUUUAUUACAAAUAAAGACCCCUGUGAGUAAUCUUUAAAUCAAUAAACUUACUUGAGGCAAUUUCACAACAGAGAUACAGAUUGGAUGUAAUAACAAAGAGGUCCCUUAAAUCAUUAAACUUAUUCGAGACUGUCCUUCUAUGAGGAUAAGGACCAAAGUAAUUAAUAUAAAGAUAUAAAUUCAAGAAAUAUCUUGAACUAAUCCUUCCGUGAGGAUAAGGAUCAAAACAAAUGAAUUCAAAGAUUUGAAAAAACGAGUGACUUAAAAUUAUUAUUACUUAUACAUUAUUAAUUAAUUAUAGUAUAUUUAGUUUUUCUCCUUGUAGGAAAUACAACUUAAUUUAACUAUAACUAUUAUAUAAAAUAUAUCAAGUAUUGCUAAUUUCUAGUAAAAGUAUUUCACCACGAAAUGUUUAACAUUUAUACAAAAUCAAGUUAACAAAGAGUUAAAAUAUGCUUGAUAUUAUAAUAUUAAUCAAAGUUUCUUCAAUGAUCGCAAUAUAAAGAGAUAAUGCCAACAUGUAGUUAGAAAAGUAUAAAUUUAAGAAACUAGAUGUAUUGAAAAGACAAUUGAAGAAACUAGAUGUAUUGAAAGGACUUGAAGAAAUACUGCUAUUAAAAGAGACCAAUAAUUCGUUUUUGCUAAUUGGUGGAUGAUUAAUAAUCAAAGAAAUGCCUCUAUUUAUAGAAAAUUAUAGUGUUGCCCCAAUGAAUAGAUCCUUUGAAGUGGUGGUUAUAACUGUCAACUUAUAACUUUCUCUCAGUUAUUCCACUUGACAAGUGUGUAUGUGAAGUGAUGAUUCACGCCCAUGAGCUUUUCAACUUCUUCAAAAGAGUUGUGCAAAUGAAAUUGUGAUUGCACCCAUGGAAUUUCUCAUAUCUUUUUAAUAAUUUGUUUCUUCUUUAGUCUUUCUUUGUAUUCUUUGUUAUACCCCAUUUUAACACGAGGUCAAAAUAGUGUACAAAAUAUUGAAAAACUUCUAAUUAAAUUAAGGAAAUCGCCACCUAAUUAGUUCUAUGGUUAAUUACGACACUUAUUAUAAUCUAAGUGAUCUAAAAAAAAUAAAAACUUCAUUUUAGGUCUACGCAACUUAAGUGAUUCUAAGUAAGGUUUCUAAUUAUACUAAAGGGAAGGUAUUAGGCACCCAAAAGGAUUCGCUAACUACGGUUAACCAGCCAAACUUAAGUUAGAAAUAAAAAAGAAACAUUUUUUACAUGUUUUAAAGAAAGAAUUUAUUUUUUAUUUAUCAUAGAAAAUGAGGAAAAGAAAAAGGUAGCAAGUUAGACAAAGUGGGCAUGAGAAUAAAAUUGGAAUAAGACGAGAGCAUAUGCCACGUUUAAAAAAUUUAGAAGAAGAUGAGUAAUUAGAAAAAACAUUUAAUACCUUAUUAUUAACAAAUAUAGUUCUAAAAAAGGUGAAUGAGAGGAGUUUCAAUUAUGGAAUGUUGGUUUUAUUGUUUCUCGAGAAUGCAUUUUUGAAAGCUCUUUGUGUUUUCUAUUAUUGAAACAUCUUCAUUCUUUUUUUAAAAAAAAUGAUUAAAGGUUAAGAAUUAAAAUAUGCAAUUUUAAAUUUUUUAAACAAUCUCAAAAUUUGUAUUUUGAAAGAUUACAACUUUGCACCUUAUAACCUCUUUAAAAGUUGUUUUUGCUAAAGAAGGUUAUGUUUUACUCAAAGCUUAAUUCCGCGUUUAAAGAAAUAACGUCAAAACUUAAAUGUCAUUUGCCAACACCAAAAACUAAAAUUGUUCUAUCAUUAGGAAUUUUACUAUUUGAUUUAAGAAAAUGAGUCACUCACAUUAAUGAAAUACUUUUAAAGGGAACAAGGGAUGAUCGAAAGAUUAAGGAAAAAUCAAAAUUGAAUUAUUUUCAUUCCUUUUUUUGAUGAAAAAAAAAGUCAUUUCUGAUGAAAAAGAAAAUUACAUACGUAAAUAUUGCUUCUUCAAAAUUUCAAAUAUACUCUAGACAAAAAACACCAUUGAAUAUAGGAGAAAAGCUGGCGACAUGCAUCCUAACUAUAUUACCGCAAAUUAUUGAUUCUAAAAUUAAGUGUUUUAGGCCUAAUUCCCUAUUAAAAUAACCAAGGAAAGUUAAAGUAAGAACACAAAUAAAUAAUUAAAUAAAUAAAUAACACAACAUAAGUCAUAAUAGAAUCAGUAACGAGUAAAGAAUGGAGAAUGAGAUGUCUAUUUCGUCCACUAUUUAUGUAUAGUGCAAGGGAGUUUAAGUGGACUAGAAAGAGAUAUGAGUUAGAUCCAUAACUGGGAAAUUCUGAUUGCGAUGUCGAGUCUCAUCAUGAGACUCUUUGACUCCGAUGUUCAUGCACUCAAAGAAAAUAACGAAAAAGAAUUAGAACCGAGGCAAAUUUAAUAUGAAAAAUUAACUACACAUGGUAAAGUAAAUGACAGUGUGUGGGAAUCCAAUGAGACGCAAAGAGAAACUAUAAAACGAGACUCUUGAUUUCAAACAACAAACUAAUCAUUAGAGAGCCCGAAAAAACACUCUCGGCUAGUACACACAAUUCACACUAGAGAAAGUUUAACAUAUUUAUAAACCAAAACUCUCACAAAAAUGGAAACAUAAUCAUUACUUAUAAGAGUUCUGAAUGAGUGGAAAGACAAUGAAAUCCUCAUGACGUAGCUUUUACAGCAGGUAGGUGAACCUUUUAACCAAGAAAAUAGAAUGUGCUAAUAAAUAAGAAAAUUAUAAUACACAAUAUUUUUAGAGAUAAAUUGUCUAACAUGAUUUUUACUGUAUGUAAGGUUUUAAAACAUGCUUCAAAGGGCUAUUUCUAUUGUCCAAAGAGAUUCCAGCUCAUGCUUCACAAUCAAUGAUUAUAUUGAAACAAAACUGCACACCCGAACCAUGAUAGAAAGUAAAUAAAGCAAUUGAAGGCAGUGGCUAUUUCAUCGUAUCUAAUAGCAGGAUCAAAACGACUAUGUAAUACAAGUAUAACGCAGAAACAACACAAAGAAAAAAGAGAAUAGUAGUGACCUGUUUUGGGAUAGAGAACUACAAAAUCUUUCUAUCACGAAUAUACACCCGAACACUAAUGAUUCAAAACUUUAAACAAACUCUGAUUCAAAAUUUGCAAGAAAACCAAAGAGAUUGGGAGAAUCUAGUGCUUAGUGAACUUUAAGAGGAGAUAUAUGGAGGUUUCUGAAAAUAUUUAUGUGGAGGGGAUGUGCGGCCAAAAACCUUCUUCAAAUGAAUCCCAGACAUAAAUAUUCAUAGGGAAACAUUAGACCUUCGAGUUUUAGGUGGGAUCUUGAAUUUUUGAUUUUGAAUUCAAAUCAACCAUGACAUUUAGUGUUGGUAGCCGUGAAUUUUGAUGGGUUUGCUCCCUCACGUGGUUGAUAUGGCCAUCACACAAGAAUGGAAAAACAAAAUAUAUCCAUGGAGAAAAGAGUCUUCCAAUUUGCUUGAAGAGGAAAAAAACAUUCGGACCAUCUGGAAG